ACACAGGUUUUUUUUAAAACCAAAAAAAAAAGCUGGAAAAAGAUG
Molecule: non-coding RNA, 45 nt
Organism: Apaloderma vittatum (bar-tailed trogon)
Lineage: Eukaryota; Metazoa; Chordata; Aves; Trogoniformes; Trogonidae
Source: Rfam